UUUCCUUCUUUUUCCCUUUCACCGUCAUCCAUGAGAAGACACAGUGUUCCAUCCAGAGUAUGUAGCAUCAAGGCGUCAUCUUAAAAGCAGAGAACAGACUCUUACUUGACACUAGAUGCCAGUGCAUUGAUCUUGGACUUCCCAGCCUCCAGAACUGUAAACAGCCCUGGGACAAAGAACAGACUACAGGUAUUGCCUUCUUAAUCAACAAUAAAGUAUUAGUUGGCUUCCAGGCAGACACCACUGACUUUCAAGAGAAAGGCAAGGGAGUAAGGAAGUAAAGAAUUCAGGGCAAACGUCAAGCUUUCCUCUGGGCUCCAAUGUAAAAGAAGUGGAUAGCGGCUGACUAGUGUACAUAUUAUGUAUGCAGACUUUGAAGGAAUCCCUCUUGUUUUUAGCUGUUCUUCCAUUGCUCCUGGAGACUCUGAGCUCAGAGAUUUUCUAGGCUCUGAUGGGCAGAGUGGCUCGUUUCCUCCCUGAAGUUUCCUUCAUGCUACAUUCUGGAUUACAACCUCCUCCAAAGAGUGUCAUCUUUCAAUAUAAUGUCAUCUCUUGAUUUCUCUGUUUUCUUUUCUUCACUAUAAUAGGUAAUUCUAUGUUUUAGCAGAGCUAAAUACAUCGCCUUCAUCUUCAA
Molecule: long non-coding RNA, 634 nt
Filed under: Pan troglodytes (chimpanzee)
Lineage: Eukaryota; Metazoa; Chordata; Mammalia; Primates; Hominidae
Description: lincRNA
Source: RNAcentral